Long non-coding RNA from Piliocolobus tephrosceles (Ugandan red Colobus), 2319 nucleotides. The record is from Ensembl. Lineage: Eukaryota; Metazoa; Chordata; Mammalia; Primates; Cercopithecidae.
UUUUUUUUGCUUUGCUGCUGUUGUUGUUUAAAAAUGUUACUUUAUAAAAAUGUAAAUGACUGUACAGCAAAUCGUGUUUUUUAAUAUACCAUUUUUAAAACAUUGUGUGCGAAAUGAUGUUAUAAAUCAUUUGUAAUAUUUGAAAGAGAGAAAAAAAAAAAAAAAAAAAAAAAAAACACAAAGAAAAAAAAAAAAAACACAAAGAAAAAAAAAAAAAAAUGUUGCUUUUCCGAAAUGUAAUAAAGACAUAUGUAACUAAAAAGUAUUUUUGUUCAAGACUGUUUUUUCCUCAUCAAAAUGUUUACCUAUUAAGGUGUCAUGCAAAUUUAGACAUUUUGAAUGACAAAAAGGUAUAUUUUUCAGUUCUUACAAGUGACUGUGAUAAUAAUGAAGCUGCAAAAGAAAAUAUCGACAAUAAAUUUAUAAAUACAGACAUUAAUAAUGAUAACAAUAGUGCUAAAUGCAAUAGCAAUAAUGCUAAAUACGACGACGAUAGUGCUAAAUACGACGACGAUAGUGCUAAAUACAACGACGAUAGUGCUAAAUACAACGACGAUAGUGCUAAAUACGACGACAUCCAGCCGCACUGGAUAUACGCAGAUGAAAAAAAAACAAAAAAAUUGUAUAAUUUAGUAUCCAACAAAAAAGUAAGUACCAACUUAAGAACUGAAGAAACAGCAUAUUUAAGUAUAGGAAUGAAGUCGAAAAUGUUAAAAUAUAUAAUAAGAUUAAGAAAAAAAAGUAAUUUUCGUAAAAAAAUGAAUGCUUUUUUUGUUAAGGGUUCAAACGUAAUAACUCAUUUAUUAUAUAAUAAUAAUAAUCUAGUAUUUGAAGCGGUCUUAUCGAAUGACAAAAUGAUAUUGCAACAGUUUUUAAAAAAAUGUAAUAAAUUAUAUCAUGUAAAUAAUGAAAUCUUAAGGUAUAUUUUUAAUGAUUCAGUAAUAGUAUCUAAAGAAAAAGUGUAUGAUUCAGUAGGAAUAGUAAAAAUACCAACAAACAAUGAUGUGAUAAAAUCAUUAAAACAAAUAAAGUUCUUAUUAGCUUUAGAUCGAAUUCGAUAUGCAUAUAAUUUAGGAAAAAUAUUAAACGUUGCAUACUCAAUGAAUAUUGAUUGUAUAUUUUAUGCUUAUAAUACAGUAGAUCCAUUUAAUCAUAAAGUUAUAGAAGUAACAAAAGGAUUACAUUUAAAAAUACCUUAUUUAAAUGGUUCAUACUCCAACUUAAAAGACAUAUGUCAGCAACAUAAUUUAAUACCAAUGGUAGCACAUGUUGAUGGGACUAUGGAUUUACAUAAAAUUAUUAAAAAUUCGACAUACCAAGGAGUUUGUUUGAUAUUAGGGAACGAGUCCACGGGUCCACACAUGGACAUCUUAAAUUUUGCUAAACCAAUUAGUAUACCUAUGCACGAAAUGACAGACUCUUUAAACGUGUCGGUAGCGGCGAGUAUCCUAAUUCAUUAUAUUAAAAACGCUUUUUAGAUUUUUAUGUUUUCAAAAUUUUUAUAUAUAGGUAUGUGUAUAUAUAUAAUACAUGUAUUAAUAUAAAUGUGUACUCAAUUUUUUUUUUUUUUUUUUUUUUUUUUUUUUGCUAUACGACUCAUGGACAAUUAUGGCCAAUCAGGACUCGUGCAGUUUCGAACGGGGUAACACAAGUUCAUGCACACGCAAUAUAUAUUAUGAAUACAUAUUGAAAAAGUAUUUUCAAUUUAAUUAUCUCCUUACCCUCCUCUCCCUUUUUUUUGUUCAUAUUUUUUUUUCCUUCAUUGCUUCUUUUCCUUUUUUUGUUCAUAUAUUUUUCUCUUAAUUAUAUCACUUUUGUCAAUAUAUGUCAAUAUAUAUAUAUUUUUUUUUUUCUAUAAAAAAAUCACACUAAUUUAAUUUGUAUAUUAUACGUAAACAUGUUCUUUAAAAUGUACAUAAAUUCAUAAUUAAAAAAAAAAAAAAAAAAAAAAAAAAAAAAAAAAAAAAUUUUUUUUCUCUGGUUAAAGAUAUAUUUAGCUUUAUUAUUCUUCUUUGUUUACAAUUUUUUUUUUUUUUUUUUUUUUUAAAGCCAUUUUGCUUUAGCAUGUUAUAAAUUUAAACUGAUUCCUUCUAGAGGAAAUAAUUGUUAAACUACAAGAUAAGUGAAAGCGUAUAUAUGUACAUGCGCAUAUAUUAAUGAUUCAAUUUAUUACAAUUUUUAAUUUUUUGUAAAAAAAAAAAAACAAAAAAACAACAACAACAACAACAACAGCACGAGCUAUGUAAUAAUAACGCUAAAAAUAGCAAUAACUAUAGCAAUAAUAAUAAAAUGAUGCCUUAAAUAUGAGUUUAGAUACUC